GUUCGAAAAGGCAAGCUCCGGGUAACCGGAGUACGCAAAGCUAUGCGCCCUGCACCGUACGGUACAGGGUCGGCAGGCUGCCGAAA
RNAcentral lists this non-coding RNA (86 nucleotides) under Candidatus Omnitrophota bacterium. Its description in RNAcentral is "Omnitrophica WOR c-di-GMP sequence". It matches the Rfam family "c-di-GMP-I riboswitch aptamer". Rfam says of the family: GEMM was predicted in a large-scale screen for bacterial structured RNA regulatory elements. Genes associated with GEMM are involved in a diverse array of functions, including chemotaxis regulation, signal transduction, secretion and chitin. The record is from RNAcentral. Lineage: Bacteria; Pseudomonadati; Candidatus Omnitrophota.